This 497-nucleotide ribosomal RNA is filed under the name uncultured bacterium. RNAcentral describes it as "partial 16S ribosomal RNA". It matches the Rfam family "Bacterial small subunit ribosomal RNA", at positions 28 to 507 of the family's 1533-position model. The record is from RNAcentral.
GAUGAACGCUGGCGGCGUGCCUAAUACAUGCAAGUCGAGCGAACAGACGAGGAGCUUGCUCCUCCGACGUUAGCGGCGGACGGGUGAGUAGCACGUGGAUAACCUACCUAUAAGACUGGGAUAACUUCGGGAAACCGGAGCUAAUACCGGAUAAUAUAUUGAACCGCAUGGUUCAAUAGUGAAAGACGGUUUUGCUGUCACUUAUAGAUGGAUCCGCGCCGCAUUAGCUAGUUGGUAAGGUAACGGCUUACCAAGGCAACGAUGCGUAGCCGACCUGAGAGGGUGAUCGGCCACACUGGAACUGAGACACGGUCCAGACUCCUACGGGAGGCAGCAGUAGGGAAUCUUCCGCAAUGGGCGAAAGCCUGACGGAGCAACGCCGCGUGAGUGAUGAAGGUCUUCGGAUCGUAAAACUCUGUUAUUAGGGAAGAACAAAUGUGUAAGUAACUAUGCACGUCCUGACGGUACCUAAUCAGAAAGCCACGGCUAACUACGUG